AUUCUGAUAUGUUUACUGAACUGUGCU
Molecule: non-coding RNA, 27 nt
Filed under: Cricetulus griseus (Chinese hamster)
Lineage: Eukaryota; Metazoa; Chordata; Mammalia; Rodentia; Cricetidae
Source: RNAcentral